Carya illinoinensis is the source of this 709-nucleotide long non-coding RNA. RefSeq lists it as uncharacterized. NCBI's taxonomy places the organism in Eukaryota, Viridiplantae, Streptophyta, Magnoliopsida, Fagales, Juglandaceae. The record is from RefSeq and is a predicted model, not a curated record. The transcript is spliced from 3 exons.
UUAUGUGCAUUGGCAUCUGCAGCUUUCACGUUUGAAAAUCAGGACACGAAAGCCACAUUCAUUGCUGAAGCUUGUUUCCUGUGGAAAGUGUCUCUCAACUAAGUCUCCGAGAUGAUACAAAGAACAGAAUUUUGGAUGGCUUGGAAGGAUAGAUCGUGCCACCUCAUUUGCAUUAUUAAUGUGUAGAGAGGUUCCUACUGUUUACUAGGUUUGGUCUUUGGUGAGGAGAUUCGAUCAACCACAGAAAUACAAGCCAUUUAUCAGUAGGUGCAUCAAGAUAAUUGGAGGGGAUCACAGACUUAGGAUUUGAAGCUAUGGAGGAAGAACCAUAUGGGACCCCAGAACAGGAUCAGGAUGCCACAAUGCCGUCUCGGGCGUCCCCAACACCGAGAUCGAGACCCUCUUCCAGAACACAAACUUCAUGUGCAAGUAGUCGAUUCCCAAUGCCGGUAAAUAUAGAAGAUGAAGAUACAUUUAAUGAGGAGGCUGAGAUGGGUAUUGGGGAUGAGCCGGAUGUACCACCUCCAUCCGCGAGUGCCAAGCCACCACGUCCACGAUCAAAUAAAAAAAGAUCGUGGACGUGGGAACAUUUCACCAAGGUUGACGGUGAUCCCUCGGAACCGCACGCGGCGUGCAACCAUUGUGGCCAAGAAGUUGGAUGUCAUUCAAAGAAACAAGGCACUACUGGAUUGAUAUCACAUCUAAAUGG